This 144-nucleotide small nucleolar RNA is filed under the name Nannospalax galili (Upper Galilee mountains blind mole rat). RNAcentral's name for it is "Small nucleolar RNA SNORA42/SNORA80 family (ENSNGAG00000005718.1)". It matches the Rfam family "Small nucleolar RNA SNORA42/SNORA80 family". From Rfam's summary of the family: The members of this family belong to the H/ACA class of snoRNAs that guide the sites of modification of uridines to pseudouridines. Human ACA42 (SNORA42) was cloned from HeLa cells by immunoprecipitation with anti-GAR1 antibody. Its is predicted to guide the pseudouridylation of residues U109 and U572 of 18S rRNA. The record is from Rfam by way of RNAcentral. Lineage: Eukaryota; Metazoa; Chordata; Mammalia; Rodentia; Spalacidae.
ACAUGGGUUUGGAUUUAUGGCAGGCCUGUCACCCUGGGCCUCUCAUAGUACCCAUGCUUGAGCAAUCAGUGGCUCCAAACCUCUGUGCCUGUAGGCUGACCUCUGUACCUGUAGGCUGCUGGCACUGAACCAAGUUGCACAGUG